GGUUUGAUCAUGGCUCAGAUUGAACGCUGGCGGAAUGCUUUACACAUGCAAGUCGAACGGCAGCACGGGGGCAACCCUGGUGGCGAGUGGCGAACGGGUGAGUAAUAUAUCGGAACGUGCCCAGUCGUGGGGGAUAACGUAGCGAAAGUUACGCUAAUACCGCAUACGAUCUACGGAUGAAAGCGGGGGAUCGCAAGACCUCGCGCGAUUGGAGCGGCCGAUAUCAGAUUAGGUAGUUGGUGGGGUAAAGGCUCACCAAGCCAACGAUCUGUAGCUGGUCUGAGAGGACGACCAGCCACACUGGGACUGAGACACGGCCCAGACUCCUACGGGAGGCAGCAGUGGGGAAUUUUGGACAAUGGACGCAAGUCUGAUCCAGCCAUUCCGCGUGAGUGAAGAAGGCCUUCGGGUUGUAAAGCUCUUUCGCAAGGGAAGAAAACUUAUGAUCGAAUAAAUCAUGAGGUUGACGGUACCUUGAUAAGAAGCACCGGCUAACUACGUGCCAGCAGCCGCGGUAAUACGUAGGGUGCGAGCGUUAAUCGGAAUUACUGGGCGUAAAGCGUGCGCAGGCGGUUUUGUAAGUCGGAUGUGAAAUCCCCGGGCUCAACCUGGGAACUGCGUUCGAAACUGCAAGGCUAGAGUGUGUCAGAGGGGGGUAGAAUUCCACGUGUAGCAGUGAAAUGCGUAGAGAUGUGGAGGAAUACCAAUGGCGAAGCAGCCCCCUGGGAUAACACUGACGCUCAUGCACGAAAGCGUGGGGAGCAAACAGGAUUAGAUACCCUGGUAGUCCACGCCCUAAACGAUGUCAACUAGUUGUUGGUAGAGUAAAAUCUAUGAGUAACGUAGCUAACGCGUGAAGUUGACCGCCUGGGGAGUACGGUCGCAAGAUUAAAACUCAAAGGAAUUGACGGGGACCCGCACAAGCGGUGGAUGAUGUGGAUUAAUUCGAUGCAACGCGAAAAACCUUACCUACCCUUGACAUGUCACUAACGAAGUAGAGAUACAUUAGGUGCCCGUAAGGGAAAGUGAACACAGGUGCUGCAUGGCUGUCGUCAGCUCGUGUCGUGAGAUGUUGGGUUAAGUCCCGCAACGAGCGCAACCCUCACUUUUAGUUGCCAUCAUUAAGUUGGGCACUCUGAAAGAACUGCCAGUGAUAAGCUGGAGGAAGGUGGGGAUGACGUCAAGUCCUCAUGGCCCUUACGUGUUGGGCUACACACGUGCUACAAUGGUAUCUACAACAGGAAGCAAAACUGCGAAGUUAAGCAAAUCCCUAAAAGAUACCUCAGUUCGGAUUGCACUCUGCAACUCGAGUGCAUGAAGCUGGAAUUACUAGUAAUCGUGGAUCAGCGUGCCACGGUGAAUGCGUUCCCGGGUCUUGUACACACCGCCCGUCACACCAUGGGAGUUGGUUCUACCUUAAG
RNAcentral lists this ribosomal RNA (1421 nucleotides) under uncultured bacterium. RNAcentral's name for it is "bacterial SSU rRNA". It matches the Rfam family "Bacterial small subunit ribosomal RNA". The record is from RNAcentral.